RNAcentral lists this ribosomal RNA (309 nucleotides) under uncultured bacterium. Its description in RNAcentral is "partial 16S ribosomal RNA". It matches the Rfam family "Bacterial small subunit ribosomal RNA", at positions 504 to 807 of the family's 1533-position model. The record is from RNAcentral.
AGAGACAGCAGCCGCCGCGGUAAUACAGAGGGUGCGAGCGUUAAUCGGAUUUACUGGGCGUAAAGCGUGCGUAGGCGGCUAAUUGAGUCGGAUGUGAAAUCCCCGAGCUUAACUUGGGAAUUGCAUUCGAUACUGGUUAGCUAGAGUGUGGGAGAGGAUGGUAGAAUUCCAGGUGUAGCGGUGAAAUGCGUAGAGAUCUGGAGGAAUACCGAUGGCGAAGGCAGCCAUCUGGCCUAACACUGACGCUGAGGUACGAAAGCAUGGGGAGCAAACAGGAUUAGAUACCCGCGUAGUCCCUGUCUCUUAUAC